UCACUUCUCCUUCUCAAACGGAAAAUCUCCAUCAAAACCACUUUUCCUAAAAUCACUUUUCCUUAAAUCACCUUUCCUUUAUUAAUUUCUCCAAUCAAAAUCGCUACUUCUCCGUCAUUGUAAUCGAUGUUUCUCCUUGGUAAAUCAAAAUCAACGCUUCUCGAUCAAAAUCUCUGCUUCUUAUCGUUGAUUGAAAUUGCAGCUUCUCCUUCAUUGGUCAAAGCUUCUACUUCUCCUUCUUCGUUGGAAAUCACUGUUUUAACUUUCUCUUAGGAAUUCGUUGCUUCAACUUUCUAAUCAGUUACUUUACCAUUCCAAAUCGCUCACGCAUUUCUCAAAACCUAAUAGUUGAGAGAAGACUCAAGGCUGAAGUUGUAAUUCCUUUGAUUGCUACAAAGAAUACAAAGAACUUCAAUUACAUGGAAGCAACUCUCAUUUAAGAUCUCCAAGAAGGAGGAGGAGUUGAAACAUACAGUUUCGUUUAGAGAUGUGUAUGCUCGAGUUCAUAAGAAAAAAAGAUGGAGAAUAUGUCUCUCAACGAUCGAAGAGACAUAUGACACGGCUAUAUUGGAAAAGUAUGAAGAAGACUCUUCCAUUCAUCCGAUGAUUGAUCCUAAAGUGUGGGUAUAAGUUUCUGGUUAGAAAAAGACAAGGCAUACAUUUAUGCAUUGUAGCUUAGAUGUUAGAAGAACUAUGUCUGCCCCAUUUGUUGAUGUCACUAGUCAUUCCAGAACCAUGGAGGAAGAUAUAAAAAAGUUGUGGAUAAGGCAAUAACCUCUUUUGUCCAAACACAUUUGGCACCGAUGUUGGAGCCAAUCCUUUCAUUGAUUCGAUCCAUGCCAAAAGCACCCAUGCAAAGUGAAGUACCUGAAAAAACUCAUGGAGAUAAAGGUGAAAGAAUGUUUUUCAAUUUAUUUCGGAAACCGGAGUUAAUAUGGAACUUGAGUUGUGAUUUCUAAAUUGGAAAUAAAAUAGAAUAUUAUUGUAAUGUAUAAUGUUUUAGUGUUGUUAAAUAUAUUAAAAAUUUGAUUUUAGAAUAUUAUUGUGAUGUCUAU
Molecule: long non-coding RNA, 1055 nt
Organism: Vicia villosa (hairy vetch)
Lineage: Eukaryota; Viridiplantae; Streptophyta; Magnoliopsida; Fabales; Fabaceae
Exons: 4
Source: RefSeq, a predicted model, not a curated record